AUUGAACGCCGGCGGCAUGCUUAACACAUGCAAGUCGAACGGUAACAGGCCCUUCGGGGUGCUGACGAGUGGCGGACGGGUGAGUAAUGCUUAGGAAUCUGCCUAGUAGUGGGGGAUAACCCGGGGAAACUCGGGCUAAUACCGCAUACGCCCUACAGGGGAAAGCGGGGGACUUUCGGGCCUCGCGCUAUUAGAUGAGCCUAAGUCCGAUUAGCUAGUUGGUAGGGUAAUGGCCUACCAAGGCGACGANCGGUAGCUGGUCUGAGAGGACGACCAGCCACACUGGGACUGAGACACGGCCCAGACUCCUACGGGAGGCAGCA
Molecule: ribosomal RNA, 323 nt
Filed under: uncultured bacterium
Lineage: Bacteria
Description: bacterial SSU rRNA
Rfam family: Bacterial small subunit ribosomal RNA
Source: RNAcentral